This 322-nucleotide ribosomal RNA is filed under the name uncultured soil bacterium. RNAcentral's name for it is "bacterial SSU rRNA". It matches the Rfam family "Bacterial small subunit ribosomal RNA", at positions 26 to 377 of the family's 1533-position model. The record is from RNAcentral.
AGAACGAACGCUGGCGGCAUGCCUAAUACAUGCAAGUCGAACGAACUCUUCGGAGUUAGUGGCGCACGGGUGCGUAACGCGUGGGAAUCUGCCCCUUGGUUCGGAAUAACAGUUGGAAACGACUGCUAAUACCGGAUGAUGACGAAAGUCCAAAGAUUUAUCGCCAAGGGAUGAGCCCGCGUAGGAUUAGCUAGUUGGUGAGGUAAAGGCUCACCAAGGCAACGAUCCUUAGCUGGUCUGAGAGGAUGAUCAGCCACACUGGGACUGAGACACGGCCCAGACUCCUACGGGAGCAGCAGUAGGGAAUAUUGGACAAUGGGAC